GGGAUUAUUAUUUUUCAGCCGUGGAAGCACUGCGAAGGAGCAAGAAAGUAGCAAAUUUGCCUUGUCUCUGCAAGUGGCCGCCAUUUGAGUAGCACAUGGCCAAGAAACUGAAUUUUGUUUAUUAUAGCUGUAUUUAAAAUGCUAGAGUGAUUAAUAUCACGUAAUCAUUUGAAACAUUAUGUGGAAAACGUUUACAUGAAUCAACUCUUGUUGGAUAGUAGUAAGGGUUCUGUUGAGCUGAGAAACGUUUCUUGGAAACUCGAAAUAAUAAACUAACCUGGUCUCCCAAUGGCAAUCCAUGCUUGCUACAUUUUAAAAAUGUUAACUGAUGUCCCACCAUCUAUGUUGCUUUCAAUGAAAUGGUUGAUAUUCCACAAAGGGUUUACACGUACAGUUUAAGUACUGACAGGUGACAUGUAAAGUUGAAUUUAUGUGGGGUGAUGACACAAACUUAUGGAGAUUUGCUGUCAAAAAGUUGAUCUCUUCAAUGGAAACAAUUUUAAAACUUUCUGCUACCAGUGUAUUUUUGUUCCUCUACCUGUGAAGGAACAACUGAACUUGAUGUUGCUGUUGUGAUGGAUCUGAUUAUUGAAUCUUUUCAAUGCCAGAGUAUUUUCCUCUUCUCAUUAAGAAAUAACCUAACUUAAUAUUGCAUUGUAGUGGGUUUGGAUUAUUGGUAAGUUUUGCUUUUAUUCUGACAAAUUCUUAUUAGACUGUUAUGGAAGGUUCUUUUUCACAUUUUGGUACUAAAAUAAUUUGGCUCAGCUAUUCCUUAGAUGUAUUUUAUUGUGGCAAAAGGUAAUGUUAUUGUUUGUCUGAGUUCGAAAAAUGGGAAGCGUCACCAACGAUCUGAUCGCUAUCAUUUUCGGUACGGAACUUUAAAAAACCUGUGCUGGUUAAUUUUUGGUUGAAUAUUUUACGUCGAAGACACCUAAAGGAUUGAGGUCUCGCGGUUACGCUAAAAACUGAGAUACGUCCGUGGCAGUGGUUGAAAGCGAGCAACUCGGACGCAUCCAGUUGGCUUCUAGCCCGUUUGUUUCGUGGAUCAUUCGUGUCUAUUAAGGAUUUAGACAAAGAGGACUCACUGCUGGCGGAUAUCAUAACAAUUUUGAAACAUUCAUUAUGAUUCCUCAACUGCAUCUGAUUGUCAGCGUUGUGGAUGAAAUCGUCAUUUCGUUAAACCAGCACAGUGUUUUUGAGCCAAAGGUCACCGGUUUUUCCGUUUAUCCGUUACUUAAAUUUACGGGAUCUGAUUUCAUCGAUCAUGCUUCUUUUUUUCUCUCAGAAGAUAAAGUCUGGUAAAAUCUCCCUAUACCAACAGUUGAGAGAUGAGUCAACACUCUCAAAUGGAUCAUGGUGAUAUUGUAUUGUUCCGAAAACUUUUGAAAUGGGUCACGAAGGAUAUUUAAGUCUGCGCAUGUACAGCGCUCAGGCAAU
Long non-coding RNA from Daphnia magna, 1437 nucleotides. RefSeq lists it as uncharacterized. The record is from RefSeq and is a predicted model, not a curated record. The transcript is spliced from 8 exons. Lineage: Eukaryota; Metazoa; Arthropoda; Branchiopoda; Diplostraca; Daphniidae.